AGAAAAAUAGGAGGAGAAAAAGAGGAGGGGGAGUAGGAGGAGAAAAAAGAAGAAGAAGAAGAAGAAGAAGAAGAAGAAGAAGAAAAGAAGAAGAAGAAGAAAAAGAGGAGAGAGGAGAAGAAGAAAAAACAGGAAAAGGGAACCCCGGCACCCCGAAACUGACCCUCGACCCCCAACCCGUGAUGCCCGACGCCACUGACCCCCGACCAUCGACCCCCAACGCCACUGACCCCCCACCCCC
This 241-nucleotide long non-coding RNA is filed under the name Hordeum vulgare. RNAcentral's name for it is "long non-coding RNA (HVUL_LNC010567)". Lineage: Eukaryota; Viridiplantae; Streptophyta; Magnoliopsida; Poales; Poaceae. The record is from RNAcentral.